GUUGGAGAAGAUAUACCUGGUUCUGCAGUGACUUGAUAUUCCAGAGUAGAGUAUGAGACAUGAAGAGCCAAGUCUCUGCUGAAAUCCCCGUCUGGCUGGCUCACUCUAACUAAGGCACUAUUGAGCUCACAACUACCUCUUCUGGAAUGCAAAAUGACUUCCUAGUUUUACCUGCCACCCUGCAACAAUAUUUUCAAUUAUUGGUUAAAUUGCAAAUGCCCCACGAGUCAUUUAAAUAAAUCUCACAUAUAUAAAAUA
This is a long non-coding RNA of Mastomys coucha (southern multimammate mouse), 258 nucleotides long. RefSeq lists it as uncharacterized. The record is from RefSeq and is a predicted model, not a curated record. NCBI's taxonomy places the organism in Eukaryota, Metazoa, Chordata, Mammalia, Rodentia, Muridae. The transcript has 2 exons.